AUGUGUUUUAAUAUUGAUAUGCGUGGCAGUGCGUAGUUUGGAGGCAGUUUGACAUGUGGAUUUAGACGCUUCGCAACCUAUUGUUUUGCAGGUGUGUGAUUCGAGUCGGUGUUGCUCUUGGCUAGCAGAUAGGAUUACUCGUUUAUUUGGUGGAAUGCAUUCGACUUGUUAGAAAUUAAAUAACAUUUUGACUUUUUAUUUAAU
Molecule: long non-coding RNA, 204 nt
Filed under: Helianthus annuus (common sunflower)
Lineage: Eukaryota; Viridiplantae; Streptophyta; Magnoliopsida; Asterales; Asteraceae
Description: hypothetical non coding rna
Source: RNAcentral